Molecule: ribosomal RNA, 740 nt
Filed under: uncultured bacterium
Lineage: Bacteria
Description: bacterial SSU rRNA
Rfam family: Bacterial small subunit ribosomal RNA
Source: RNAcentral
AGAGUUUGAUCAUGGCUCAGAACGAACGCUGGCGGCAGGCUUAACACAUGCAAGUCGAACGCCCCGCAAGGGGAGUGGCAGACGGGUGAGUAACACGUGGGAACGUGCCCAAAGGUACGGAACAACUCCGGGAAACUGGAGCUAAUACCGUAUGUGUCCGUAAGGAGAAAGAUUUAUCGCCUUUGGAUCGGCCCGCGUCGGAUUAGCUAGUUGGUGGGGUAAAAGCCUACCAAGGCGACGAUCCGUAGCUGGUUUGAGAGAACGACCAGCCACACUGGGACUGAGACACGGCCCAGACUCCUACGGGAGGCAGCAGUGGGGAAUCUUGGACAAUGGGCGCAAGCCUGAUCCAGCCAUGCCGCGUGGAUGAUGAAGGCCUUAGGGUUGUAAAAUCCUUUCGUCGGGGACGAUAAUGACGGUACCCGAAGAAGAAGCUCCGGCUAACUUCGUGCCAGCAGCCGCGGUAAUACGAAGGGGGCUAGCGUUGUUCGGAUUUACUGGGCGUAAAGCGCGUGUAGGCGGGUCGUUAAGUUGGGGGUGAAAUCCCGAGGCUCAACCUCGGAACUGCCUUCAAAACUGGCGACCUGGAGCAAAGAAGAGGCGAGUGGAAUUGCGAGUGUAGAGGUGAAAUUCGUAGAUAUUCGCAGGAACACCAGUGGCGAAGGCGACUCGCUGGUCUUUUGCUGACGCUGAGACGCGAAAGCGUGGGGAGCAAACAGGAUUAGAUACCCUAGUAGUCC